UGCAGUCGACGCUGAAGCCGACAGCUUGCUGUUGGUGGAUGAGUGGCGAACGGGUGAGUAACACGUGAGUAACCUGCCCCUGAUUUCGGGAUAAGCCUGGGAAACUGGGUCUAAUACCGGAUACGACCAACCCUCGCAUGAGGGUUGGUGGAAAGUUUUUCGAUCGGGGAUGGGCUCGCGGCCUAUCAGCUUGUUGGUGGGGUAAUGGCCCACCAAGGCGACGACGGGUAGCCGGCCUGAGAGGGCGACCGGCCACACUGGGACUGAGACACGGCCCAGACUCCUACGGGAGGCAGCAGUGGGGAAUAUUGCACAAUGGGGGAAACCCUGAUGCAGCGACGCAGCGUGCGGGAUGACGGCCUUCGGGUUGUAAACCGCUUUCAGCAGGGAAGAAGCGAAAGUGACGGUACCUGCAGAAGAAGUACCGGCUAACUACGUGCCAGCAGCCGCGGUAAUACGUAGGGUACGAGCGUUGUCCGGAAUUAUUGGGCGUAAAGAGCUCGUAGGUGGUUGGUCACGUCUGCUGUGGAAACGCAACGCUUAACGUUGCGCGUGCAGUGGGUACGGGCUGACUAGAGUGCAGUAGGGGAGUCUGGAAUUCCUGGUGUAGCGGUGAAAUGCGCAGAUAUCAGGAGGAACACCGGUGGCGAAGGCGGGACUCUGGGCUGUAACUGACACUGAGGAGCGAAAGCAUGGGGAGCGAACAGGAUUAGAUACCCUGGUAGUCCAUGCCGUAAACGUUGGGCACUAGGUGUGGGGGACAUUCCACGUUCUCCGCGCCGUAGCUAACGCAUUAAGUGCCCCGCCUGGGGAGUACGGUCGCAAGGCUAAAACUCAAAGGAAUUGAC
RNAcentral lists this ribosomal RNA (848 nucleotides) under Brevibacterium sediminis. Its description in RNAcentral is "bacterial SSU rRNA". It matches the Rfam family "Bacterial small subunit ribosomal RNA", at positions 56 to 914 of the family's 1533-position model. The record is from RNAcentral. Lineage: Bacteria; Bacillati; Actinomycetota; Actinomycetes; Micrococcales; Brevibacteriaceae.